CCAAAAUCUGCAUCAGCCAUCUCCCCUGGUCCAUUUACAAUGCAACCCAUAAUUGCAAUCGAGACACCAGGCAAGUGAGAUGUCUUUUCUCGAAUUUCUGCACUUAUUUCUUGAAGGUCGAACAAAGUUCUCCCACAGGAUGGGCAUGAGACAUACUCCGUCUUUGUAUUUCUCAUUCUGCAACCUUGUAGCAAGUUGAAAGAGGUAUUCCUCAGAAAAUCAAAGUCCUGGUCUGGGGCUUCUAGCAGGAUACCAUCUCCAAGACCAUCUACUAAAAGAGCCCCGGCAUUUGCACCAGCGCCAAUGACCAAGUCAUCCCUGUGAAUCGCAUUUGGAAAAUGAAUAUGGUGAAUUACAGGGAAAUUCAGAGCAUUGUCUGAUAGAAACUCAAAUAACCUCCUUGCUGCAUGCACUCUACCAAUUUUGUCUUCUGUAAAUGGUAGAUCAUGAAGAAUCAUUGUAGCAUCUAUGUCUUUCAGGAUUUCCAGUUCUUCAUAGGGCUCAUCACCACGUACAGACACAACCAAGCGAGUACCUUCUGGCAAAAGCUUGUGAGCACCAGUUGAUAACUCCUUAAAAUUUACAAGAACCAUGGCAUUGGGUAAUGGCUUUGUCAGCUGCUCUGACAAAGGAGUAAUAACUCCCAUGCUAAUAUCUAUCAGUCUUUUUAGUGCUAGCCGAGCAUCAUUAUCCUCCACAGGCGGAAGCUCUCUCAAUAGGAUUGAGUCAACUGUUGCCAAGUCCUUAAAAGGCAUUCCAACAACAAGCUUUGCUGCUAGUGACUUGUAUAGGAGUUCAGGUGCCUUUAAUUGAUCUAAGGAAACUGACAUGAGAACAGAACCAUCACGGUGCAGGACACCUCUAUAAUCCACCUCUUCACCCUCCUUUUGUACUGGCAAUUGGCCGGAUCGGCGCUGGAAAUCAAAAUAAUGCCUAUGCUUUUCUUCAAAUGGUGCCACUCCUUGUUGAACUGUAGAAGCUCUCAUACCAAGGUUGGCCAACCUUCUGCAAGGAUCAAUCUCCUUCUCUGGUGGUUCUGUCAGUGAUACCCUGAUUGUAUCACCCAAACCAUCCUG
RNAcentral lists this unclassified non-coding RNA (1076 nucleotides) under Hevea brasiliensis (rubber tree). Lineage: Eukaryota; Viridiplantae; Streptophyta; Magnoliopsida; Malpighiales; Euphorbiaceae. The record is from RNAcentral.